Molecule: ribosomal RNA, 253 nt
Filed under: uncultured bacterium
Lineage: Bacteria
Description: partial 16S ribosomal RNA
Rfam family: Bacterial small subunit ribosomal RNA
Source: RNAcentral
UACGUAGGCAGCAAGCGUUGUUCGGAAUUACUGGGCGUAAAGAGUGUGUAGGCGGUGCCGUACGUCCGUUGUGAAAUCGCUCGGCUCAACUGGGCGGGGUCAGCGGAUACGGUGGCACUUGAGCAAGCUAGGGGGCAAUGGAAUUCCCGGUGUAGUGGUGGAAUGCGCAGAUAUCGGGAAGAACACCCGUGGCGAAGGCGGCUCUCUGGGACGGUACUGACGCUGAGACGCGAAAGCGUGGGGAGCGAACAGG